RNAcentral lists this ribosomal RNA (2931 nucleotides) under Staphylococcus epidermidis. RNAcentral describes it as "23S ribosomal RNA". It matches the Rfam family "Bacterial large subunit ribosomal RNA". The record is from RNAcentral. Lineage: Bacteria; Bacillati; Bacillota; Bacilli; Caryophanales; Staphylococcaceae.
AGAUUAAGGUAUUAAGGGCGCACGGUGGAUGCCUUGGCACUAGAAGCCGAUGAAGGACGUUACUAACGACGAUAUGCUUUGGGUAGCUGUAAGUAAGCGUUGAUCCAGAGAUUUCCGAAUGGGGGAACCCAGCAUGAGUUAUGUCAUGUUAUCGACAUGUGAAUUCAUAGCAUGUCAGAAGGCAGACCCGGAGAACUGAAACAUCUUAGUACCCGGAGGAAGAGAAAGAAAAAUCGAUUCCCUGAGUAGCGGCGAGCGAAACGGGAAUAGCCCAAACCAACAAGCUUGCUUGUUGGGGUUGUAGGACACUCUAUACGGAGUUACAAAAGAACAUGUUAGACGAAUCAUCUGGAAAGAUGAAUCAAAGAAGGUAAUAAUCCUGUAGUCGAAAACAUAUUCUCUCUUGAGUGGAUCCUGAGUACGACGGAGCACGUGAAAUUCCGUCGGAAUCUGGGAGGACCAUCUCCUAAGGCUAAAUACUCUCUAGUGACCGAUAGUGAACCAGUACCGUGAGGGAAAGGUGAAAAGUACCCCGGAAGGGGAGUGAAAGAGAACUUGAAACCGUGUGCUUACAAGUAGUCAGAGCCCGUUAAUGGGUGAUGGCGUGCCUUUUGUAGAAUGAACCGGCGAGUUACGAUCUGAUGCAAGGUUAAGCAGCAAAUGUGGAGCCGCAGCGAAAGCGAGUCUGAAUAGGGCGUUGAGUAUUUGGUCGUAGACCCGAAACCAGGUGAUCUACCCUUGGUCAGGUUGAAGUUCAGGUAACACUGAAUGGAGGACCGAACCGACUUACGUUGAAAAGUGAGCGGAUGAACUGAGGGUAGCGGAGAAAUUCCAAUCGAACUUGGAGAUAGCUGGUUCUCUCCGAAAUAGCUUUAGGGCUAGCCUCAAGUGAUGAUUAUUGGAGGUAGAGCACUGUUUGGACGAGGGGCCCCUCUCGGGUUACCGAAUUCAGACAAACUCCGAAUGCCAAUUAAUUUAACUUGGGAGUCAGAACAUGGGUGAUAAGGUCCGUGUUCGAAAGGGAAACAGCCCAGACCACCAGCUAAGGUCCCAAAAUAUAUGUUAAGUGGAAAAGGAUGUGGCGUUGCCCAGACAACUAGGAUGUUGGCUUAGAAGCAGCCAUCAUUUAAAGAGUGCGUAAUAGCUCACUAGUCGAGUGACACUGCGCCGAAAAUGUACCGGGGCUAAACAUAUUACCGAAGCUGUGGAUUGUCCUUUGGACAAUGGUAGGAGAGCGUUCUAAGGGCGUCGAAGCAUGAUCGCAAGGACAUGUGGAGCGCUUAGAAGUGAGAAUGCCGGUGUGAGUAGCGAAAGACGGGUGAGAAUCCCGUCCACCGAUUGACUAAGGUUUCCAGAGGAAGGCUCGUCCGCUCUGGGUUAGUCGGGUCCUAAGCUGAGGCCGACAGGCGUAGGCGAUGGAUAACAGGUUGAUAUUCCUGUACCACCUAGUAUCGUUUUAAUCGAUGGGGGGACGCAGUAGGAUAGGCGAAGCGUGCUGUUGGAGUGCACGUCCAAGCAGUAAGGCUGAGUGUUAGGCAAAUCCGGCACUCAUAAGGCUGAGCUGUGAUGGGGAGAGGAAAUUGUUUCCUCGAGUCGUUGAUUUCACACUGCCGAGAAAAGCCUCUAGAUAGAUAACAGGUGCCCGUACCGCAAACCGACACAGGUAGUCAAGAUGAGAAUUCUAAGGUGAGCGAGCGAACUCUCGUUAAGGAACUCGGCAAAAUGACCCCGUAACUUCGGGAGAAGGGGUGCUCUUUAGGGUUCACGCCCAGAAGAGCCGCAGUGAAUAGGCCCAAGCGACUGUUUAUCAAAAACACAGGUCUCUGCUAAACCGUAAGGUGAUGUAUAGGGGCUGACGCCUGCCCGGUGCUGGAAGGUUAAGAGGAGUGGUUAGCUUCUGCGAAGCUACGAAUCGAAGCCCCAGUAAACGGCGGCCGUAACUAUAACGGUCCUAAGGUAGCGAAAUUCCUUGUCGGGUAAGUUCCGACCCGCACGAAAGGCGUAACGAUUUGGGCACUGUCUCAACGAGAGACUCGGUGAAAUCAUAGUACCUGUGAAGAUGCAGGUUACCCGCGACAGGACGGAAAGACCCCGUGGAGCUUUACUGUAGCCUGAUAUUGAAAUUCGGCACAGCUUGUACAGGAUAGGUAGGAGCCUUUGAAACGUGAGCGCUAGCUUACGUGGAGGCGUUGGUGGGAUACUACCCUAGCUGUGUUGGCUUUCUAACCCGCACCACUUAUCGUGGUGGGAGACAGUGUCAGGCGGGCAGUUUGACUGGGGCGGUCGCCUCCUAAAAGGUAACGGAGGCGCUCAAAGGUUCCCUCAGAAUGGUUGGAAAUCAUUCAUAGAGUGUAAAGGCAUAAGGGAGCUUGACUGCGAGACCUACAAGUCGAGCAGGGUCGAAAGACGGACUUAGUGAUCCGGUGGUUCCGCAUGGAAGGGCCAUCGCUCAACGGAUAAAAGCUACCCCGGGGAUAACAGGCUUAUCUCCCCCAAGAGUUCACAUCGACGGGGAGGUUUGGCACCUCGAUGUCGGCUCAUCGCAUCCUGGGGCUGUAGUCGGUCCCAAGGGUUGGGCUGUUCGCCCAUUAAAGCGGUACGCGAGCUGGGUUCAGAACGUCGUGAGACAGUUCGGUCCCUAUCCGUCGUGGGCGUAGGAAAUUUGAGAGGAGCUGUCCUUAGUACGAGAGGACCGGGAUGGACAUACCUCUGGUGUACCAGUUGUCGUGCCAACGGCAUAGCUGGGUAGCUAUGUAUGGACGGGAUAAGUGCUGAAAGCAUCUAAGCAUGAAGCCCCCCUCAAGAUGAGAUUUCCCAACUUCGGUUAUAAGAUCCCUCGAAGAUGACGAGGUUAAUAGGUUCGAGGUGGAAGCGUGGUGACACGUGGAGCUGACGAAUACUAAUCGAUCGAAGACUUAAUCAAUUUUUAAA